This 1159-nucleotide long non-coding RNA is filed under the name Manihot esculenta (cassava). RNAcentral describes it as "long non-coding RNA (MESC_LNC005979)". Lineage: Eukaryota; Viridiplantae; Streptophyta; Magnoliopsida; Malpighiales; Euphorbiaceae. The record is from RNAcentral.
CGAGUCCCUCCUACAAUCAUAUUGAUCAUUCCACUAGAGUCGUCGUUCACCAGCGCUCCGAUCUGUCUCCUAGGCCUUUCUCCAGUUGUGUUAUGUUGUGGUCUCUGGCCCUCUAGCUUUUUUAUAAAGUUCCUGAGGUGUCCUCUCUUGAUGAGCCUCUCUAUUUCAUUUAUCAACUGGUAACAGUCGUUCGUAUCAUGACUAUGAGUCCGGUGGUACCAAUAAUACUUAUCUCGGUCCCUUCUGUUCACUUCUGCCUUUAUCAACUUGGGCCACUGUAUGAAGUCUUUGUCUUGGACUGCCAUGAGCACUUUAGCUAUGGACACAUUCAGAGGAGUGAUCUUCGUGGGGAUCUGGGGUUGAUAGAGUCUUUGCUCCUUUCUCUCCCACCGGUGUCUGUUUAGUGCUUCAGACCCCCGAUCCUGUCUCCUCUCCGGCCUAUCUUGCCUCUUGUCCUCCCCAACCCUUCCUCUAUCUCCUGCCUCCUUGGCGAACUUGCUUGUGGUUAACGCAUCGUCCUACCUUAUAUACUUUUCUGCCCUUUUCAUCAGCUAUACCAAGGUAGGCUUUCUGCAUAGUGAUUUAAAGAACUCUGAGGAGGUGGUGCCCUUCUGCAUAGCUUCCAUAACUCUUGCUUCAUCAAGCUCGGGUAUUUGUAAAGCCUCCUUGUUGAACCUAGCCAACGACUCCCUUAAAGAUUCGUUCCUCCUUUGUCGAACUGUUUCUAAAUAGCUUAUCUUUCUUUCCGCUGAGAUCCCAGCAAUGAACCUGCUGAUGAACACACUGGCCAAGUCUAUGAAGUUCUUAGUACUACCGGCCUCUGAGCUAUUGAACCACGCUCAGGUUGGUCUGGUUAAGGUGGUGGAAAAAACUUACACAUCAAGGCAUCUGAGUGAGUUUGCAGCUCCAUGAACAUUUUAUAGUUCAAGACAUGCUCCUGAGGGUUUUCCGUCCCAUCAUAGGCGGCUAUUAUCGGCAUCAUGAACUUCUUGAGGAUGGUUUCCUGCUGUACCCAUCUCACAAAUGGGGAUGCGGUUGGCAACAAGGGACUGCUGUUGUCUUGUGCCCCCAACUCUGUCAGCAGUUGCUCUCUCAGCCUUUCUAACUUUUGAUCUACAUCUGCCUCCUAUCUCCUGGGCUUUUUCUCUAGGCGGUAGUU